Molecule: ribosomal RNA, 231 nt
Filed under: Citrobacter sp. EC_71
Lineage: Bacteria; Pseudomonadati; Pseudomonadota; Gammaproteobacteria; Enterobacterales; Enterobacteriaceae
Description: partial 23S ribosomal RNA
Rfam family: Bacterial large subunit ribosomal RNA
Source: RNAcentral
GAAGGGGGGACGGAGAAGGCUAUGUCGGCCGGGCGACGGUUGUCCCGGUUUAAGCGUGUAGGUGUGUGUUCCAGGUAAAUCCGGUUCACUUUAACACUGAGGCGUGAUGACGAGGCACUACGGUGCUGAAGUGACAAAUGCCCUGCUUCCAGGAAAAGCCUCUAAGCAUCAGGUAACACGAAAUCGUACCCCAAACCGACACAGGUGGUCAGGUAGAGAAUACCAAGGCGC